RNAcentral lists this signal recognition particle RNA (297 nucleotides) under Saimiri boliviensis boliviensis (Bolivian squirrel monkey). RNAcentral's name for it is "Metazoan signal recognition particle RNA (ENSSBOG00000003274.1)". It matches the Rfam family "Metazoan signal recognition particle RNA". From Rfam's summary of the family: The signal recognition particle (SRP) is a universally conserved ribonucleoprotein. It is involved in the co-translational targeting of proteins to membranes. Lineage: Eukaryota; Metazoa; Chordata; Mammalia; Primates; Cebidae. The record is from RNAcentral.
GCCCACGCGGUGGCCUGUGCCUGUAGACCCAGCUACUCGGGAGGCUGAGGUUGGAGGAUCGCUUGAUCCCAGGAGUUCUGGGCUGUAGUACACUAUGCUGAUCGGGUGUCUGCAUUAAGUUUGGCGUCAAUAUGGUGACCUCCCCGGAACGGGGGACCACCAGGUUGCCUAAGAGGGGUGAAGUGGCCCAGGUCGGAAACGGAGCAGGUCAAAACUCCCGUGCUGAUCAGUAGUGGGAUCGUGCCUGUGAAUAGCCACUGCACUCCAGCCUAGGCAACAAAGCGAGACCCCGUCUCU